AGAGCGAACGCUGGCGGCAGGCCUAACGCAUGCAAGUCGAGCGCCCCGCAAGGGGAGCGGCAGACGGGAGAGUAACACGUGGGAACGUACCCUUCAGUUCGGAACAACCCAGGGAAACUUGGGCUAAUACCGAAUACGUCCGUAAGGAGAAAGAUUUAUCGCUGAAGGAUCGGCCCGCGUCUGAUUAGCUUGUUGGUGAGGUAACGGCUCACCAAGGCGACGAUCAGUAGCUGGUCUGAGAGGAUGAUCAGCCUCACUGGGACUGAGACACGGCCCAGACUCCUACGGGAGGCAGCAGUGGGAAUAUGGACAAUGGGCGCAAGCCUGAUCCAGCAAUGCCGCGUGAGUGAUGAAGGCCUUCGGGUUGUAAAGCUCUUUCGCACGCGAGGAUGAUGACGCUAGCGUGAGAAGAACGCCCGGCUAACUUCGCGCCAGCAGCCGC
This 442-nucleotide ribosomal RNA is filed under the name uncultured bacterium. RNAcentral's name for it is "SSU rRNA". It matches the Rfam family "Bacterial small subunit ribosomal RNA", at positions 26 to 518 of the family's 1533-position model. The record is from RNAcentral.